AUGAUCAACAGCUUCUUCACUGAACAACAAACCUGUAUUUUGCUUUUCAAGCAGGGGAACAGACACCAUUUGAUUCACAGAUUAUCACAUGGAUCCCAAGAACAGCAUGACUAUGCUGACCAUGAGGAGUCUGCAGCUUCCAGUUUUGACCACCAGCCUGCAGUAUCAAUAACAAGCACAAAGGAACUGAUGUGAUGUGCAGCCAGGUGACUUUGUGCACUACCCAACAGCCUGGACCACAGAAGCACUCAGAGACGGGUCAAGAACAACGCUCACUUUUCUGAAUGGCUUUCCUCUCCAAGUGUGGAUGUCAGACCAUUUAUCAUGGGUCACGACAUCCAGUCAUAGAGAACUCCUUGCAGCAGCAGAAGAGGAUAAGAAAAACCCUCAGUUACCCAGAUGAUUUCUUCCUGUAAGUUGAAACUCUGCUCAUGGCAUGCACUGAGAGACUGUCCAUCCCUACCUCUGUGGAUAGAAAGGAAAUUGGUUCCUUUGUUGUGGGAAAUGUUCUGUAGUUUUCUUCUCAAUUUCAGUCAGUGGUGAGAAUCAUUCCCCACUUCAUGAAAUGUUAUUGGCAUGUAGAGAAAAAUACAACCUCUAUGCAGCCCUUUUCCUUUGGGGUUUCCUCACCCUACCUGAAUGUUUUUCAAGCUGUUGUGCUACCUGUGGUCUUCAGGUGAAACCUUCUUCCUCUUAAUAAUGUAUAUUGCCACUUUUCCUAGUCUGAUUUUGUGCCAAAUGAUUUUAGCUUGAGAGCUAAAUACCCAUUGUUUUUGGUGAGCACCGAGUGGAAUAAGAUGAGUCUGAAGGUUUUUUUUUUAGAAACACUCAGGAAACAACUGCUGCCAUAAUCACAAGGGAAUAGUGAUCCCUCUUGAUAAAUUCAAUUUGUUCAUAACCUUUUGACACAGACCAUAAAUAACCUUUAUAUAUCUCACACACACACAAGGGCAUAUACAGUAUGUGACAUAAACAAUGUAUAUAAAUAUUUACAAAAAUAGAAAAUAAAUGUAAAGUGCCAUAAAAACUACCCA
RNAcentral lists this long non-coding RNA (1034 nucleotides) under Numida meleagris (helmeted guineafowl). RNAcentral's name for it is "lncRNA (ENSNMEG00000006934.1)". The record is from RNAcentral. Lineage: Eukaryota; Metazoa; Chordata; Aves; Galliformes; Numididae.